GAGAAAGAAGCAUAAUGGAUUUAAUGCGGUUGGCUUGAAACCAUCAUUUGGAGGUUCAAUUCCUUCCUUUCUUG
This 74-nucleotide transfer RNA is filed under the name Traversia lyalli (Stephens Island wren). Its description in RNAcentral is "tRNA-Ser". It matches the Rfam family "tRNA". Rfam says of the family: Transfer RNA (tRNA) molecules are approximately 80 nucleotides in length. Their secondary structure includes four short double-helical elements and three loops (D, anti-codon, and T loops). The record is from RNAcentral. Lineage: Eukaryota; Metazoa; Chordata; Aves; Passeriformes; Acanthisittidae.